CCAAAUCUGUAACUGGAUAUGACCUAUGAUGUGGAUGUUGAAAGAAAGGAGACAAUUGGGGACCAUAAAAAUGAGGUCGGCGAAGAUCUAACUUUGAGUUUCAACAAAGAUGAGACGAUUUUGUUAGUGUCCCAUGUACCUUCUCCACCAAAGUUCAAGGAUCCAGACAGUUUUGCAAGAUCGUAUCCAAUUGAUAGUCAUGUCAUAUGCAAGGCUAUAUGUGAUAUGAGAGCUAGCACAACUUUAGAGCUAUGGUAGAAUGAAAAAGGGAAGAUAAAAGAAGAACAUGUUGUGUUUGACAAACUUCCAUGCCACAAUCUGAUCACAAACAUAAUGGGGAAAACACCUAGUUGUUUGUCGUACUUAAUGGGGGUCCUAUCUAAAAA
This 386-nucleotide long non-coding RNA is filed under the name Panax ginseng (ginseng). Its description in RNAcentral is "long non-coding RNA (PGIN_LNC007793)". The record is from RNAcentral. Lineage: Eukaryota; Viridiplantae; Streptophyta; Magnoliopsida; Apiales; Araliaceae.